ACGUAGGGUGCGAGCGUUAAUCGGAAUUACUGGGCGUAAAGCGUGCGCAGGCGGUUCGCUAAGACAGGUGUGAAAUCCCCGGGCUUAACCUGGGAAUGGCGCUUGUGACUGGCGGGCUGGAGUACGGCAGAGGGGGGUGGAAUUCCACGUGUAGCGGUGAAAUGCGUAGAGAUGUGGAGGAACACCGAUGGCGAAAGCAGCUCUCUGGAGCGUUACUGACGCUGAGGCUCGAAAGCGUGGGGAGCAAACGG
RNAcentral lists this ribosomal RNA (251 nucleotides) under uncultured prokaryote. RNAcentral's name for it is "partial 16S ribosomal RNA". It matches the Rfam family "Bacterial small subunit ribosomal RNA", at positions 525 to 775 of the family's 1533-position model. The record is from RNAcentral.